UUGAAAGGGAAACGAUUGAAGUCAGUCGUACCGACGAGUAAUCAGCCUUUCGGGUGUGAUUUUGCCGGACACGGAGAGCUUUACCGUAUUCGUGCUUGUAAAUUUGUGCCCUUUGGGUGUACUUUCUCGUAUGGUUAGUUAACAUCAAUUUUGAUCGUUAUAAAAUGACUGGAGUAAUGUAGCUUCGAUUUUGUAUUGAAGUGUUAUAGACUUUGGUAGAUGUAACGAUCGGGAUUGAGGAUUGCAACGAAUACCCUUCGGGCUAUCCGUCUGGCCUCUGAAAGUUGUCUUGGUGCCAAAAGUGUGCUUACGGUUAUCGAGGCUGACGGUCAAAAGGUUAGAACAUGAUUAAAUUCGUUAAGGAUGUUGACGUA
RNAcentral lists this ribosomal RNA (374 nucleotides) under uncultured Glomeromycotina. RNAcentral describes it as "LSU rRNA". Lineage: Eukaryota; Fungi; Glomeromycota. The record is from RNAcentral.